GAGGGUAUAGCUCAGCUGGCAGAGCGCUACGUUGACAUCGUAGAGGUCAUUGGUUCAAGUCCAAUUAUCCUCACCA
RNAcentral lists this transfer RNA (76 nucleotides) under Bacillota bacterium. Its description in RNAcentral is "tRNA-Val". It matches the Rfam family "tRNA". From Rfam's summary of the family: Transfer RNA (tRNA) molecules are approximately 80 nucleotides in length. Their secondary structure includes four short double-helical elements and three loops (D, anti-codon, and T loops). RNAcentral also lists the same sequence under 5 other names. Lineage: Bacteria; Bacillati; Bacillota. The record is from RNAcentral.